Molecule: ribosomal RNA, 460 nt
Filed under: uncultured bacterium
Lineage: Bacteria
Description: partial 16S ribosomal RNA
Rfam family: Bacterial small subunit ribosomal RNA
Source: RNAcentral
CCUACGGGCGGCAGCAGUGAGGAAUAUUGGUCAAUGGACGAGAGUCUGAACCAGCCAAGUAGCGUGAAUGAUGACUGCCCUAUGGGUUGUAAACUUCUUUUAUAUGGGAAUAAAAUGUUCCACGUGUGUGAUUUUGUAUGUACCAUUUGAAUAAGGAUCGGCUAACUCCGUGCCAGCAGCCGCGGUAAUACGGAGGAUCCGAGCGUUAUCCGGAUUUAUUGGGUUUAAAGGGAGCGUAGGUGGAUUGUUAAGUCAGUUGUGAAAGUUUGCGGCUCAACCGUAAAAUUGCAGUUGAAACUGGAAGUCUUGAGUACAGUAGAGGUGGGCGGAAUUCGUGGUGUAGCGGUGAAAUGCUUAGAUAUCACGAAGAACUCCGAUUGCGAAGGCAGCUCACUGGACUGCAACUGACACUGAGGCUCGAAAGUGUGGGUAUCAAACAGGAUUAGAUACCCGGGUAGUC